Long non-coding RNA from Myotis davidii, 310 nucleotides. RefSeq lists it as uncharacterized. The transcript has 3 exons. NCBI's taxonomy places the organism in Eukaryota, Metazoa, Chordata, Mammalia, Chiroptera, Vespertilionidae. The record is from RefSeq and is a predicted model, not a curated record.
CUCAUCUCUUAACAUCUAUUCCAAAUCUUAUCCUCCAUGAAAGCUAGAGUUGUACUCUGCCCUGUUGGAUGUUCCUAGUUUUUAGCUGUUGAUACCAUAAUCACUAUUCACGGGUUGACAAACAUCUACAUUUGUAUAUAUUCACAGCAAGAAAGAGUGACUAUGACAUAAUUAUUUCCAUAUUGAAACAAAUUUGAAUGAAAUUAACUUGGACAACCACUUGGAUGUUAGAGUUAAAAAGAUGCAGAAUUCUAACAAUACCAGCAAGUAGUGAUGUCUAUCAAGAAUGUACUAUGGCCCAAACCGGUUU